This 509-nucleotide ribosomal RNA is filed under the name uncultured bacterium. Its description in RNAcentral is "partial 16S ribosomal RNA". It matches the Rfam family "Bacterial small subunit ribosomal RNA", at positions 28 to 523 of the family's 1533-position model. The record is from RNAcentral.
GAUGAACGCUAGCGGCAGGCUUAAUACAUGCAAGUCGAGGGGCAGCAGCUUUGUAGCAAUACAAGGGCUGGCGACCGGCAAACGGGUGCGGAACACGUACGCAACCUUCCUUUAACUGGGAGAUAGCCCACCGAAAGGUGGAUUAAUAUCCCAUAGUAUAUUUGAGUGGCAUCACUUAGAUAUUAAAGCUCCGGCGGUUAAAGAUGGGCGUGCGUCUGAUUAGGUAGUUGGCGGGGUAACGGCCCACCAAGCCCACGAUCAGUAGCUGAUGUGAGAGCAUGAUCAGCCACACGGGCACUGAGACACGGCCCAGACUCCUACGGGAGGCAGCAGUGGGGAAUUUUGGACAAUGGGCGCAAGCCUGAUCCAGCCAUUCCGCGUGCAGGAUGAAGGCCUUCGGGUUGUAAACUGCUUUUGUACGGAACGAAAAGGCUCUGGUUAAUACCCGGGGCUCAUGACGGUACCGUAAGAAUAAGCACCGGCUAACUACGUGCCAGCCGCCGCGGUAA